CGAGACCUCAGGUCAGGCGGGGCUACCCGCUGAAUUUAAGCAUAUCAAUAAGCGGAGGAAAAGAAACUAACAGGGAUUCCCUUA
Molecule: ribosomal RNA, 84 nt
Filed under: Astragalus campylotrichus
Lineage: Eukaryota; Viridiplantae; Streptophyta; Magnoliopsida; Fabales; Fabaceae
Description: partial 26S ribosomal RNA
Rfam family: Eukaryotic large subunit ribosomal RNA
Source: RNAcentral